Non-coding RNA from Equus caballus (horse), 1922 nucleotides. NCBI's taxonomy places the organism in Eukaryota, Metazoa, Chordata, Mammalia, Perissodactyla, Equidae. The record is from RefSeq and is a predicted model, not a curated record.
UGCUUUCCAAGAAGCUAUACUCUUAGGAUCGAAAUAUAAUUUUCAAAAAAGUUUAAAAACAUGACUCUUUCCCAAACUAAAAUGAAAAUGUGUCAAAAUUUAAUUAAUUCAUUAAUUAAUGAGGAAACCAGUAAGAUGGUAAUGCUGGCUCAAAGACUAUUUUGAGAAACCAGAGUUUAUGUAAUCCUUAAAAAAAGAAGAAUCUUAGAAUAAGAUUGCUGGGUUGGAGACAAAAUUGGUUAAUGUCCUAACAAACCAUAACCUUUGAGGUUACCAGGUGGUGUGCUAGAGCCAGCUCAUACCAGCUGAUUAUUAAAUAUUCAGGAAGUUUGUAAGCUAGCCCCUCUGCCUUCAGCCAGUUUACCAGCACACCACUGAUAUUAACAUGUUAUUAAGUAGUUUUACAGAGUCUCAAUUCUUAAUUAAUAAUAAAAGACAAAGCCAAACAAUGGUACAUUCUCCUUGAAAAUGAAAUCAUCCUUGAGUGGGCCUGUUAAACAUGGGCUUCACCAUGACAUUGAAAGGACGUAGUCACCCUCUUCACCUCAUUUCCAAGUUUUGGAUAAUUUUUCUUAAUUUUCCUUCAACCUCUCUAGCUCUUCCUUUUCAGUCUUCUUUGUGGGCUUCUUUUCCUCUCCCCUCCCUUAAAUACUGGUGAUCUUCAAGGUUUUAUCUUCAGGGUCUGUCUUAUGCUCGCUCUCUUCACUCCUCUCAGUCUUGCCCCUUCACUGCCUAGUUAACUAGUACUUGUCCUUUAACCUGCCUCGUUCAGAUAAGCCCUCCCUGACUCCCCGGGCAAGAUCAGCUUCCCCUCUUUCAGAGGACUUAUCCCAAUUCUAAUAAACAAUUCAUUGUGUAGUUAGUUGUUUAAUGUCUGUCUCUUCCACUAGACCAUAAACUCCAUGACAGCAGGGAACAUAGCUGUCUUUUUCACUUCCAUAAUCCUAAGAGCCUAAAUAAUUAUUUGUUGAAUAAAUGAAUGAGUGAGUGCACGAAUGGAGAAAUAACAGAUGGUUAGAUGGUGACCUCAUCAUUUCCUUCCAUGGCCUCAAUUUUCAUCAAUGUAUUGGUGACUGGAAAAAUGUAUAUUGCCAGUUCUCUUUCUCUUUUGAAACUGAAUAAUAAAAUGAUAGUCAGGGAAAUUCUUUUGCUAUUUUACAAACACAAGUACUAAAACAUCAAAAUUCGGUGUAAAUAUUUUGAAAAUGCCAAAUGUCAAGAAAAGGGGCACACAAUUCAGCUAUUGCUUGAUCUAGGAAAUAGCAUUUCACUGCCCAAAAAGUGUUGAGAGACAGUUCUCCAUGGCGCUCUCAUGUUUUUCAUGUCUUGUGAGCAGAGGCACCAACAAGAAAGUUUUGUGCUUUUUUUUCAAGGAGAGUACAGCCUGGGAAGAUGGAGAUAGUGUCUCCCUCCAGAGCAGAAGAUCUUUUCUGACACUGAGCGGAAGAGGCCUGUGCAUUUGUCCGUACUUACUGAUGCAUGUUUUCACAUGUUUAUGAGACCAUCUCCAUAGCUUACUCUACACAUGAGCAUGACUACUGUUCUACAGCUGUCAUCAGCAUAACUUUACUGUUCCAGCAAGCUCUUGACAAGGAAGAUAAAAGUUGCAAACAAAUGACUUUAUUGCUGAUUCCAGGACCUUCUUGAAAGACCUACCAACUCUUCAAAAUAAAGCACCAAAUCACAAUUUAUACCCCAAGACUCUCUGAGCCCCUCGUCUCAAUUGCUGUGCUACUGGUUCUAAACUAUCAUGAUCAUUAUCUGAUGCUAAGACUUCCCUCUCCCCCUAUUGAAAGACCCACCUUCAACCAGACUUUCAAAGUUUAAUAAAUAGCCCAGUUUUGCUCUUACCCUCCUUUGAGAUGCUACAAAGAUUUGCAAGAUAACUUGUAAGUAAUAAACUGAGUUUUGUCAUAUCCACA